This 456-nucleotide ribosomal RNA is filed under the name uncultured Rhodocyclaceae bacterium. RNAcentral's name for it is "bacterial SSU rRNA". It matches the Rfam family "Bacterial small subunit ribosomal RNA", at positions 925 to 1382 of the family's 1533-position model. The record is from RNAcentral. Lineage: Bacteria; Pseudomonadati; Pseudomonadota; Betaproteobacteria; Rhodocyclales; Rhodocyclaceae.
ACAAGCGGUGGAUGAUGUGGAUUAAUCGAUGCAACGCGAAAACCUUACCUACCCUUGACAUGUCCGGAAUCCCGAAGAGAUUUGGGAGUGCUCGCAAGAGAACCGGAACACAGGUGCUGCAUGGCUGUCGUCAGCUCGUGUCGUGAGAUGUUGGGUUAAGUCCCGCAACGAGCGCAACCCUUGUCAUUAGUUGCCAUCAUUUGGUUGGGCACUCUAAUGAGACUGCCGGUGACAAACCGGAGGAAGGUGGGGAUGACGUCAAGUCCUCAUGGCCCUUAUGGGUAGGGCUUCACACGUCAUACAAUGGUCGGUACAGAGGGUUGCCAACCCGCGAGGGGGAGCUAAUCCCACAAAGCCGAUCGUAGUCCGGAUCGCAGUCUGCAACUCGACUGCGUGAAGUCGGAAUCGCUAGUAAUCGUGGAUCAGCAUGUCACGGUGAAUACGUUCCCGGGUCUU